RNAcentral lists this long non-coding RNA (1117 nucleotides) under Ovis aries (sheep). RNAcentral describes it as "lncRNA (ENSOARG00000025208.1)". The record is from RNAcentral. Lineage: Eukaryota; Metazoa; Chordata; Mammalia; Artiodactyla; Bovidae.
AUGAGUAUUGCCACUCCUGCUUUCUUUUGGUCUCUAUUCGCGUGGUAUAUCUUUUUCCAGCCCUUCACUUUCAGUCUGUAUGUGUCCCUUGUUUUGAGGUGGGUCUCUUGUAAGCAGCAUAUAACUGGAGGAAUCAACUUGCCUGACUUCAGGCUCUACUACAAAGCCACAGUCAUCAAGACAGUAUGGUACUGGCACAAAGACAGACAUAUAGAUCAAUGGAACAAAAUAGAAAGCCCAGAGAUAAAUCCACACACAUAUGGACACCUUAUCUUUGACAAAGGAGGCAAGAAUAUACAAUGGAGUAAAGACAAUCUCUUUAACAAGUGGUGCUGGGAAAACUGGUCAACCACUUGUAAAAGAAUGAAACUAGAUCACUUUCUAACACCGCACACAAAAAUAAACUCAAAAUGGAUUAAAGAUCUAAAUGUAAGAUCAGAAACUAUAAAACUCCUAGAGGAGAACAUAGGCAAAACACUCUCAGACAUAAAUCACAGCAGGAUCCUCUAUGAUCCACCUCCCAGAAUUCUGGAAAUAAAAGCAAAAAUAAACAAAUGGGAUCUAAUUAAAAUUAAAAGCUUCUGCACAACAAAGGAAAAUAUAAGCAAGGUGAAAAGACAGCCUUCUGAAUGGGAGAAAAUAAUAGCAAAUGAAGCAACUGACAAACAACUAAUCUCAAAAAUAUACAAGCAACUUAUGCAGCUCAAUUCCAGAAAAAUAAACGACCCAAUCAAAAAAUGGGCCAAAGAACUAAAUAGACAUUUCUCCAAAGAAGACAUACGGAUGGCUAACAAACACAUGAAAAGAUGCUCAACAUCACUCAUUAUUAGAGAAAUGCAAAUCAAAACCACAAUGAGGUACCACUUCACACCAGUCAGAAUGGCUGCGAUCCAAAAAUCUGCAAUUCACAGUCCAACUCUCACAUCCAUACAUGACUACUGGAAAAACCAUAGCCUUGACUAGAUGAACCUUAGUCGGCAAAGUAAUAUCUGUAGUUUGAAUAUACUAUCUAGGUUGGUGAUAACUUUUCUUCCAAGGUGUAAGUGUUUUUUAAUUUCAUGGCUUCAAUCACCACCUGCAGUCAUUUUGGAGCCCCCCAAAAUAAAGUCUGUUAUAG